This 916-nucleotide ribosomal RNA is filed under the name methanogenic prokaryote enrichment culture B31_1_26. RNAcentral's name for it is "bacterial SSU rRNA". It matches the Rfam family "Bacterial small subunit ribosomal RNA", at positions 8 to 916 of the family's 1533-position model. The record is from RNAcentral.
AGAGUUUGAUCCUGGCUCAGAUUGAACGCUGGCGGCAUGCCUAACACAUGCAAGUCGAACGGCAGCACAGGUAGCAAUACCGGGUGGCGAGUGGCGGACGGGUGAGUAAUGCAUCGGGAUCUACCCUGACGUGGGGGAUAACCUCGGGAAACCGGGACUAAUACCGCAUACGUCCUACGGGAGAAAGCGGGGGACCUUCGGGCCUCGCGCGGCAGGACGAACCGAUGUGCGAUUAGCUAGUUGGCGGGGUAAUGGCCCACCAAGGCGACGAUCGCUAGCUGGUCUGAGAGGAUGAUCAGCCACACUGGGACUGGGACACGGCCCAGACUCCUACGGGAGGCAGCAGUGGGGAAUAUUGGACAAUGGGCGCAAGCCUGAUCCAGCAAUGCCGCGUGUGUGGAGAAGGCCUUCGGGUUGUAAAGCACUUUUAUCAGGAGCGAAAUACUACCGGCCAAUACCCGGUGGGGCUGACGGUACCUGAGGAAUAAGCACCGGCUAACUUCGUGCCAGCAGCCGCGGUAAUACGAAGGGUGCAAGCGUUAAUCGGAAUUACUGGGCGUAAAGGGUGCGUAGGCGGUUCGUUAAGUCUGUUGUGAAAUCCCCGGGCUCAACCUGGGAAUGGCAAUGGAUACUGGCGGGCUAGAGUGUGUCAGAGGAUGGUGGAAUUCCCGGUGUAGCGGUGAAAUGCGUAGAGAUCGGGAGGAACAUCAGUGGCGAAGGCGGCCAUCUGGGACAACACUGACGCUGAAGCACGAAAGCGUGGGGAGCAAACAGGAUUAGAUACCCUGGUAGUCCACGCCCUAAACGAUGCGAACUGGAUGUUGGUCUCAACUCGGAGAUCAGUGUCGAAGCAAACGCGUUAAGUUCGCCGCCUGGGGAGUACGGUCGCAAGACUGAAACUCAAAUGAAUUGACGG